AUGGUAAGCGAACUUGUCGCUGGUGGUUUCGUAAUGGAAUCAUGAGAGGAAAGUCUGGACCACAUAGAGCACCAUACUUCCUAACGGGAAGCUGUUGUGAAGCAUGAUUAGCGUGACAGAAAAUAACCGCCAGCCUUCGGGUUGGUAAGGGUGAAAAGGUGGGGUAAGAGCCUACCGAGCAAGUAGUGAUACAUUGCUGCCGUACGCAUUAUGGGUGGAAAGAUCAUGUAUACCGACGUAUGUAGGACUGCUCGUCCGAUGUCGAGGGGUAGAUCGAUGGAGGUGCAGAGUAAUUUGCAUCCUAGAUAAAUGACAAGCUGACGGAGCUUGCUCCGUUUGAACAGAAUCCGGCUUAUUGCUUACCAACUUC
RNAcentral lists this RNase P RNA (370 nucleotides) under Porphyromonadaceae bacterium W3.11. RNAcentral describes it as "RNase P RNA component class A". It matches the Rfam family "Bacterial RNase P class A". Rfam says of the family: Ribonuclease P (RNase P) is a ubiquitous endoribonuclease, found in archaea, bacteria and eukarya as well as chloroplasts and mitochondria. Its best characterised activity is the generation of mature 5'-ends of tRNAs by cleaving the 5'-leader elements of precursor-tRNAs. Lineage: Bacteria; Pseudomonadati; Bacteroidota; Bacteroidia; Bacteroidales; Porphyromonadaceae. The record is from RNAcentral.